CAGCCGCCGCGGGAAUACGGAGGGGGCUAGCGUUGUUCGGAUUUACUGGGCGUAAAGCGCACGUAGGCGGAUCCUUAAGUCAGAGGUGAAAUCCCAAGGCUCAACCUUGGAACUGCCUUUGAUACUGGGGAUCUCGAGUUCGGGAGAGGUGAGUGGAACUGCGAGUGUAGAGGUGAAAUUCGUAGAUAUUGGGAAGAACACCGGUGGCGAAGGCGGCAACCUGGUCCAUAACUGACGCUGAGGCGCGAAAGCGUGGGGAGCAAACAGGAUUAGAUACCCCAGUAGUCCCUGUCUCUUAUAC
RNAcentral lists this ribosomal RNA (301 nucleotides) under uncultured bacterium. Its description in RNAcentral is "partial 16S ribosomal RNA". It matches the Rfam family "Bacterial small subunit ribosomal RNA", at positions 509 to 807 of the family's 1533-position model. The record is from RNAcentral.